This is a small nuclear RNA of Pygocentrus nattereri (red-bellied piranha), 58 nucleotides long. Its record names the gene U7. It matches the Rfam family "U7 small nuclear RNA". Rfam says of the family: Animal histone pre-mRNAs are spliced by a different mechanism than nuclear pre-mRNAs and self-splicing introns. Lineage: Eukaryota; Metazoa; Chordata; Actinopteri; Characiformes; Serrasalmidae. The record is from Ensembl.
UAAAAUUUGCUCUUUUAGAAUUUGUCCAGUAGGUUUCUUAUUAAAAAAAGGAGCCCCC